GAUGAACGCUGGCGGCGUGCCUAAUACAUGCAAGUCGAGCGAACAGACGAGGAGCUUGCUCCUCUGACGUUAGCGGCGGACGGGUGAGUAACACGUGGAUAACCUACCUAUAAGACUGGGAUAACUUCGGGAAACCGGAGCUAAUACCGGAUAAUAUAUUGAACCGCAUGGUUCAAUAGUGAAAGACGGUUUUGCUGUCACUUAUAGAUGGAUCCGCGCCGCAUUAGCUAGUUGGUAAGGUAACGGCUUACCAAGGCAACGAUGCGUAGCCGACCUGAGAGGGUGAUCGGCCACACUGGAACUGAGACACGGUCCAGACUCCUACGGGAGGCAGCAGUAGGGUAUCUUCCGCAAUGCGCGAAAGCCUGACGGAGCAACGCCGCGUGAGUGAUGAAGGUCUUCGGAUCGUAAAACUCUGUUAUUAGGGAAGAACAAAUGUGUAAGUAACUAUGCACGUCUUGACGGUACCUAAUCAGAAAGCCACGGCUAACUACGUG
Molecule: ribosomal RNA, 497 nt
Filed under: uncultured bacterium
Lineage: Bacteria
Description: partial 16S ribosomal RNA
Rfam family: Bacterial small subunit ribosomal RNA
Source: RNAcentral